Molecule: ribosomal RNA, 474 nt
Filed under: uncultured bacterium
Lineage: Bacteria
Description: partial 16S ribosomal RNA
Rfam family: Bacterial small subunit ribosomal RNA
Source: RNAcentral
UAGGGAAUCUUCCACAAUGGACGCAAGUCUGAUGGAGCAACGCCGCGUGAGUGAAGAAGGCUUUCGGGUCGUAAAACUCUGUUGUUGGAGAAGAAUGGUCGGCAGAGUAACUGUUGUCGGCGUGACGGUAUCCAACCAGAAAGCCACGGCUAACUACGUGCCAGCAGCCGCGGUAAUACGUAGGUGGCAAGCGUUAUCCGGAUUUAUUGGGCGUAAAGCGAGCGCAGGCGGUUUUUUAAGUCUGAUGUGAAAGCCCUCGGCUUAACCGAGGAAGCGCAUCGGAAACUGGGAAACUUGAGUGCAGAAGAGGACAGUGGAACUCCAUGUGUAGCGGUGAAAUGCGUAGAUAUAUGGAAGAACACCAGUGGCGAAGGCGGCUGUCUGGUCUGUAACUGACGCUGAGACUCGAAAGCAUGGGUAGCGAACAGGAUUAGAUACCCUGGUAGUCCAUGCCGUAAACGAUGAAUGCUAGGU